This 423-nucleotide ribosomal RNA is filed under the name uncultured bacterium. RNAcentral's name for it is "bacterial SSU rRNA". It matches the Rfam family "Bacterial small subunit ribosomal RNA", at positions 207 to 622 of the family's 1533-position model. The record is from RNAcentral.
AAGACCUUGCGCUUUUGGAGCGGCCGAUGUCUGAUUAGCUAGUUGGUAGGGUAAUGGCCUACCAAAGCUUCGAUCAGUAGCUGGUCUGAGAGGACGACCAGCCACACUGGGACUGAGACACGGCCCAGACUCCUACGGGAGGCAGCAGUGGGGAAUUUUGGACAAUGGGCGCAAGCCUGAUCCAGCCAUGCCGCGUGAGUGAAGAAGGCCUUCGGGUUGUAAAGCCCUUUCAGCCGGGAAGAAAAGGCUACGACGAAUAAUCGUAGCUCAUGACGGUACCGGAAGAAGAAGCACCGGCUAACUACGUGCCAGCAGCCGCGGUAAUACGUAGGGUGCGAGCGUUAAUCGGAAUUACUGGGCGUAAAGGGUGCGCAGGCGGUUUUGUAAGUCAGAUGUGAAAUCCCCGGGCUUAACCUGGGAACU